This 18-nucleotide ribosomal RNA is filed under the name Symbiodinium sp. One0410-8. RNAcentral describes it as "partial 28S ribosomal RNA". RNAcentral also lists the same sequence under 15 other names. The record is from RNAcentral. Lineage: Eukaryota; Dinophyceae; Suessiales; Symbiodiniaceae.
CAGGUGCAUGCCUCUAGC